UCCGUAGGGGAGGCAUGCGGAGGGUUUGGCGUGGGGUCUACAACUCCCAAACCCCUGUGAACAUACCAAUUGUUGCCUCGGCGGAUCAGCCCGCUCCCGGUAAAACGGGACGGCCCGCCAGAGGACCCCCAAACUCUGUUUCUAUAUGUAACUUCUGAGUAAAACCAUAAAUAAAUCAAAACUUUCAACAACGGAUCUCUUGGUUCUGGCAUCGAUGAAGAACGCAGCAAAAUGCGAUAAGUAAUGUGAAUUGCAGAAUUCAGUGAAUCAUCGAAUCUUUGAACGCACAUUGCGCCCGCCAGUAUUCUGGCGGGCAUGCCUGUUCGAGCGUCAUUUCAACCCUCAAGCCCAGCUUGGUGUUGGGACUCGCGAGUCAAAUCGCGUUCCCCAAAUUGAUUGGCGGUCACGUCGAGCUUCCAUAGCGUAGUAGUAAAACCCUCGUUACUGGUAAUCGUCGCGGCCACGCCGUUAAACCCCAACUUCUGAAUGUUGACCUCGGAUCAGGUAGGAAUACCCGCUGAACUUAAGCAUAUCAAUAAGCGGAGGA
This 547-nucleotide ribosomal RNA is filed under the name Fusarium sp. FsPB182TNW-T. RNAcentral describes it as "eukaryotic LSU rRNA". The stretch from base 180 to 333 matches the Rfam family "5.8S ribosomal RNA". The record is from RNAcentral. Lineage: Eukaryota; Fungi; Ascomycota; Sordariomycetes; Hypocreales; Nectriaceae.